This 483-nucleotide ribosomal RNA is filed under the name uncultured bacterium. RNAcentral describes it as "partial 16S ribosomal RNA". It matches the Rfam family "Bacterial small subunit ribosomal RNA", at positions 28 to 523 of the family's 1533-position model. The record is from RNAcentral.
GACGAACGCUGGCGGCGUGCUUAACACAUGCAAGUCGAACGAUGAAGCCGGAGCUUGCUCCGGUGGAUUAGUGGCGAACGGGUGAGUAACACGUGAGCAAUCUGCCCUUGACUCUGGGAUAACUGCGGGAAACUGUAGCUAAUACCGGAUACGACACCUUGGGGCAUCCCAGGGUGUGGAAAGAAUUUCGGUCAAGGAUGAGCUCGCGGCCUAUCAGCUAGUUGGUGAGGUAAUGGCUCACCAAGGCGACGACGGGUAGCCGGCCCGAGAGGGUGACCGGCCACACGGGAACUGAGACACGGUCCAGAGUCAUAAGGGAGGCAGCAGUGGGGAAUAUUGCACAAUGGGCGAAAGCCUGAUGCAGCAACGCAGCGUGAGGGAUGAAGGCCUUCGGGUUGUAAACCUCUUUUAGCAGGGAAGAAGCGAAAGUGACGGUACCUGCAGAAAAAGCACCGGCUAACUACGUGCCAGCAGCCGCAGUAA